This 2291-nucleotide long non-coding RNA is filed under the name Pogonomyrmex barbatus (red harvester ant). Its description in RNAcentral is "uncharacterized LOC105432436, transcript variant X3". Lineage: Eukaryota; Metazoa; Arthropoda; Insecta; Hymenoptera; Formicidae. The record is from RNAcentral.
AGGGGAAAACAUUUUCACAAACGAUCACGAAGCGCGCGCUUGAUUGUGGAUCCGCGCCCGCCGUAUUGUGCGCGAUUUUAUUAUAUAUUUCCCGACGCGUUCGCGCAUCGCUUAUCGCAUCUUCGCGAGCGAAACCGAGGGCUUUCGACCGACCUGCGUACUGCACUGGAUGCACGCAAUAAACGCGACGGCCGUCGUUUAUCUCGAGCGCGUUAACGCACCUCGCGUAGUGCGCUACUCGCCGCUCGCGGCGACGGUUACAUCGCGCGGAAAAGCUUGGGAGAUCGAUACGCCGAUCUCCGUGACCGCGAUCGUCGGAUCGAAUAGCCGAUCGAUCGCGGAUCGAUCCGUGCGCGUGCUCUCGCGUCAGAUUUCCGACGAAAGACACGUCUGGACGCUGUAAUCGGAGCUGAAAGCCACGCCAAUUCCGAAAGGGGAAGGCAGAGUUACAAGAGCGGAGAACAAUGCUGUCGCAACGUCGCGUCGCGUCGCGUCAUCGACUUGUUCACGGUAUCGCGUGUAAUUAGCGCGUGAAUGCAUUAAUGAUUUCUCGAAGUCAUUGACGAUCCAGACCGUUGAUCAUUAACCGGUGAUCUCUCUCGCGAUCAGGUGAAAUUGAAUAUAAACGCUCUUUCCCGUUCGUGAAACGCGUCUCGUGAGAAACUCAAUUUGAUGACGCUAUUGGAAAAGCGGGAAAUCAACGUACAGUUCGACUUCCCGAGUAGUUAUUGGCCAUUGAAAGACUCGCGACGGAUGCGUCUGAGGACCGGAAGAAGAUGCGCUAAUUAACUGCGAUCUCGGCCCAGUGUCGUCUCGUGGAAAUCGCCAAGUGACGCUGCCACGCUCGGUGGACGGAAUGAACGCCGGGACGGAAUAAAUCAUCGAGAAGUGCGUACUCGUGGGGAUGCAUUACAUGCAUUACCUCAAGGGGAUCUCCGUCGUCAAGCCAGGGUCGAUCGGGCAAAAUAAUGCGAUCGAAGCGCAUCAAGGAGGCGACGCUGUUCAGAUUGCUCAGAUACAGGCAGUGCGCCAGGUGCCGGAAGAUAACUUAGCGUACCCGAGAGCAUCCCGGGCGAUAGAUCGACCGGAGCAAAGGGGCUAGGAGCUAGGAGCACAUACAUACGAGAGCACAUGAGACUGAUCGCGAUCGCGGCAACGAUCGACGAGCGUAAUUUCACUCUAUUGGCUGUGAUUUUUACCCCUAGAUCCCGAUUUCCAGAGGCUCGACGCGUGAAAAUCGCCAAGACUGAAGAUCGAGGUAGACUGCUCAGUGAUCUCUUCGCCGAGAGACACGUAGGCCUGGAAUAUUGUAUUCCGCGACGUAAGUUGUGACGUCAUCCGCCGUCGGCGGACUACAUACGUACAUAUAUAAAAUCGAUAGACGUUAUGUCGUUAGUAUAAAACGUUAAUUACUAUCUAAGUGUUGCCGGUAACCCUCUAAGAUCAACUCGCGAGAGAAUAAUUAAGGCGAACGGAUCUCUCUCUUCGCCAGGCGCGUCGCGGGAAAGGAGAAUUCGUUGCUCUUCUCGGCGUUUAUUAGCGCCGUCGUAGGACGCGCAUCAGUUGCAUACAGACGAGACUUUCCCUUCACGAAGCCGGCAAGAUGCACGUGCGAAGCUCGUUUUUGCACCGUCGGGUAACAAUCACGCACAUCCGGAAAGCAACGCGAGCAAAACAUGAGCCCGUUUAUAUCGGAAAUACGUUCAUCUAACGAACUUGAUUGCGCCACAGUUUGCGACUAAUCACUUGAAGGCUCGCCUUUCGAUUAUCUCGCGUCGUUCUCGCUUGCCUCGUCGAUGGUCGACCGGUUGCUGAAAAUUGAGAAAUUCCAAAGAGAGACGAACCCUCACAAGAUGAUCGCGCGAGGAUUUGGAGGAGAUUUACGAUAACUUUGGCCGCGCCGAAUGGAAAAAACGAAGCACUUACUUGGAGCAUUGCCCAAUCCUGAAAAGGAAGAAUCGCCGAUAUUGGGAAAUUUGAGUGGCACUCGGGGAUUGUCCAAUAGUCGGGCCAGGUUAAAAUUAUUUCGUCGCAUCGAUAGAAAGAGAUCGCGUUUCGUCGUUAUAAUGCUAUUUGGUAUCUCGAUGAGAUCGAAAAGAUUCGCGAAACUUUGAGAUGCUUUGUAUCCAGAUAACGGGAUCGAGGUAAAAUAACAAUUAAAAAGUGCAGGCAGUCGAGAGGAAAUAUUAGAAGAGAUAACGGAAGGGGGAAGGGGAAGAGUUAUUACUCGCGAGCGAGCGAGCAUUUUAAAUGUUUGGAUUGAAAGGGAGGAAAAUCGAGCAACGAAAAAA